This 253-nucleotide ribosomal RNA is filed under the name uncultured bacterium. Its description in RNAcentral is "partial 16S ribosomal RNA". It matches the Rfam family "Bacterial small subunit ribosomal RNA", at positions 524 to 776 of the family's 1533-position model. The record is from RNAcentral.
UACGAAGGGUGCAAGCGUUACUCGGAAUUACUGGGCGUAAAGCGUGCGUAGGUGGUGAGUUAAGUCUGUCGUGAAAGCCCCGGGCUCAACCUGGGAAUGGCGAUGGAUACUGGCUCGCUAGAGUGCGGUAGAGGAGAGUGGAAUUCCCGGUGUAGCAGUGAUAUGCGUAGAGAUCGGGAGGAACAUCAGUUGCGAAGGCGGCUCUCUGGACCAGCACUGACACUGAGGCACGAAAGCGUGGGGAGCAAACAGG